GUGGGGAAUAUUGGACAAUGGGCGCAAGCCUGAUCCAGCAAUGCCGCGUGAGUGAUGAAGGCCUUAGGGUUGUAAAGCUCUUUUACCCGGGAUGAUAAUGACAGUACCGGGAGAAUAAGCUCCGGCUAACUCCGUGCCAGCAGCCGCGGUAAUACGGAGGGAGCUAGCGUUGUUCGGAAUUACUGGGCGUAAAGCGCGCGUAGGCGGCUGCUCAAGUCAGAGGUGAAAGCCCGGGGCUCAACCCCGGAACUGCCUUUGAAACUAGGUAGCUAGAAUCUUGGAGAGGUCAGUGGAAUUCCGAGUGUAGAGGUGAAAUUCGUAGAUAUUCGGAAGAACACCAGUGGCGAAGGCGACUGACUGGACAAGUAUUGACGCUGAGGUGCGAAAGCGUGGGGAGCAA
Molecule: ribosomal RNA, 400 nt
Filed under: uncultured Novosphingobium sp.
Lineage: Bacteria; Pseudomonadati; Pseudomonadota; Alphaproteobacteria; Sphingomonadales; Sphingomonadaceae
Description: bacterial SSU rRNA
Rfam family: Bacterial small subunit ribosomal RNA
Source: RNAcentral